This 407-nucleotide ribosomal RNA is filed under the name uncultured bacterium. RNAcentral's name for it is "partial 16S ribosomal RNA". It matches the Rfam family "Bacterial small subunit ribosomal RNA", at positions 30 to 526 of the family's 1533-position model. The record is from RNAcentral.
AUUGAACGCUGGCGGCAGGCCUAACACAUGCAAGUCGAGCGGAGCGGCGGACGGGUGAGUAAUGCCUAGGAAUCUGCCUGGUAGUGGGGGAUAACGUCCGGAAACGGACGCUAAUACCGCAUACUAUCAGAUGAGCCUAGGUCGGAUUAGCUAUUUGGUGGGGUAAUGGCUCACCAAGGCGACCAUCCGUAACUGGUCUGAGAGGAUGAUCAGUCACACUGGAACUGAGACACGGUCCAGACUCCUACGGGAGGCAGCAGUGGGGAAUAUUGGACAAUGGGCGAAAGCCUGAUCCAGCCAUGCCGCGUGUAUGAAGAAGGCCCUAGGGUUGUAAAGUACUUUCAGUCGGGAGGCGUUACCGACAGAAGAAGCACCGGCUAACUCCGUGCCAGCAGCCGCGGUAAUUC